Molecule: transfer RNA, 88 nt
Filed under: Rhodocyclaceae bacterium
Lineage: Bacteria; Pseudomonadati; Pseudomonadota; Betaproteobacteria; Rhodocyclales; Rhodocyclaceae
Also listed under: 2 other names
Description: tRNA-Ser
Rfam family: tRNA
About the family: Transfer RNA (tRNA) molecules are approximately 80 nucleotides in length.
Source: RNAcentral
GGAAGCGUGGCAGAGUGGUUAAAUGCACCGGUCUUGAAAACCGGCAACGGGCAACCGUUCGUGAGUUCGAAUCUCACCGCUUCCGCCA